Non-coding RNA from Gossypium raimondii (Peruvian cotton), 848 nucleotides. The record is from Rfam. Lineage: Eukaryota; Viridiplantae; Streptophyta; Magnoliopsida; Malvales; Malvaceae.
AUAUAUUUGAAAAGUAUUUUUUUUCAAAGAAUAGUAAUUUUUUUUGAAUAAUCUCAUUAUAGGUUUUGUCAAAUCCCAGGGCUCAAUUCUGGACAGGCGGUGGAAACUACCAAGCUAGAGUACGGUAGGGGCAGAGGGAAUUUUUGGUGGAGUGGUGAAAUGCGUAGAGAUCAGAAAGAACACCAACGGUGAAAGCACUCUGCUGGGCCGACACUAACACUGACACUGAGAGACGAAAGCUAGGGGAGCAAAUGAGAUUAGAUACCCUAGUAGUCUUAGCCGUAAAUGAUGGAUACUAGGCGUUGUGCAUAUCGACCCAUGUAGUGCUGCAGCUAACACAUUAAGUAUCCCACUUGGGGAGUACGUUUACUAGAAUGAAACUUAAAUGAAUUGACAGGGGCCUGCACAAGCAGUGAGCAUGUGGUUAAUUCGAUGCAAAGCGAAGAACCUUACGAGGGUUUGACAUGCCGCGAAUCCUCUUGAAAGAGAGGGGUGCCUUCGAGAAUGCGGACACAAGUGGUGCAUGGCUGUCGCCAGCUCGUGUCGUAAUGUGUUGAGUUAAGUCCCGCAAUGAGCGCAGUCCUCGUGUUUAGUUGCCACCGUUGAGUUUGAAACCUUGAGCAGAUUGCCGGUGAUAAGCGGAGAAAGGUGAGGAUGACGUCAAGUCAUCAUGCCCCUUAUGCACUAGGCGACACACAUGCUACAAUGGACGGGACAAAGGGUCGCGAUCUCGCGAGGGUGAGCUAACUCCAAAAAAGGCAUUCAAACCUCUGUCCUCUUAUAUUGGCAACAAUGCGUAUAUCAAUCAGGCUAAGACUCAAUCGGCUUAAAAAUAGAUUAAUUUAAAA